This 253-nucleotide ribosomal RNA is filed under the name uncultured bacterium. RNAcentral describes it as "partial 16S ribosomal RNA". It matches the Rfam family "Bacterial small subunit ribosomal RNA", at positions 524 to 776 of the family's 1533-position model. The record is from RNAcentral.
GACGAACCGUGCGAACGUUGUUCGGAAUCACUGGGCUUAAAGGGCGCGUAGGCGGGCCUUCAAGUUUGGGGUGAAAUCCUCCGGCUCAACCGGAGAACUGCCUCGAAUACUGAAGGUCUCGAGGGGGAUAGGGGCAUGCGGAACUCCAGGUGGAGCGGUGAAAUGCGUUGAUAUCCGUAGGAACUCCGGUGGCGAAGGCGGCGUGCUGGAUCCCUUCUGACGCUGAGGCGCGAAAGCCAGGGGAGCAAACGGG